This 217-nucleotide long non-coding RNA is filed under the name Olea europaea (common olive). RNAcentral's name for it is "long non-coding RNA (OEUR_LNC001009)". Lineage: Eukaryota; Viridiplantae; Streptophyta; Magnoliopsida; Lamiales; Oleaceae. The record is from RNAcentral.
GCAAUCGAGGAUUCUCCUCAUUCGCCAAUAAAAUGUGAAAGGCUCUAGAUUAGUAGAUUCAGAGAGAGAGAGAGAGAGAGAGAGAGAGAGAGUGUGUGUGUGUGUGUUUUCUGCUUUACCCUCAAAAUCAGGCGGUGCUCAACGAGCGUUCGCGAGAGAGAAAGGGGGUGAGAGGCCUUUUUUGUGGGAGAAUUAUUACGUUAGCCUAGUCAAUGAC